GUGAACGUAAAGGGAGAGAUUGCCGUUUUCUAGCGAAAGCGGCAACGCCGAAGGAGCAAACUCCUGCCAUUAGCUGGAGUGAAUCUCUCAGGCAAAAGGACUUUUACCGGACG
RNAcentral lists this non-coding RNA (113 nucleotides) under Paenibacillus yonginensis. RNAcentral's name for it is "Glycine sequence". It matches the Rfam family "Glycine riboswitch aptamer". From Rfam's summary of the family: This family represents the bacterial glycine riboswitch. The record is from Rfam by way of RNAcentral. Lineage: Bacteria; Bacillati; Bacillota; Bacilli; Caryophanales; Paenibacillaceae.